RNAcentral lists this transfer RNA (74 nucleotides) under Arcobacter sp. RNAcentral describes it as "tRNA-Met". It matches the Rfam family "tRNA". From Rfam's summary of the family: Transfer RNA (tRNA) molecules are approximately 80 nucleotides in length. Their secondary structure includes four short double-helical elements and three loops (D, anti-codon, and T loops). Lineage: Bacteria; Pseudomonadati; Campylobacterota; Epsilonproteobacteria; Campylobacterales; Arcobacteraceae. The record is from RNAcentral.
CGGCGAGUAGCUCAGCUGGAUAGAGUACGAAUUUCAUAAAUUCGAGGUCGAGGGUUCGAGUCCCUCCUUGUAAU